UACAGAGGGGGCAAGCGUUGUUCGGAAUUACUGGGCGUAAAGGGCGCGUAGGCGGCCCGCUAAGUCGAACGUGAAAUCCCCGGGCUCAACCCGGGAACUGCGUCCGAUACUGGCAGGCUUGAAUCCGGGAGAGGGAUGCGGAAUUCCAGGUGUAGCGGUGAAAUGCGUAGAUAUCGGGAGGAACACCAGUGGCGAAGGCGGCGAUCUGGGAAGAUACUGACGCUGAGGUGCGAAAGCGUGGGGAGAAAACAGG
Molecule: ribosomal RNA, 253 nt
Filed under: uncultured bacterium
Lineage: Bacteria
Description: partial 16S ribosomal RNA
Rfam family: Bacterial small subunit ribosomal RNA
Source: RNAcentral